This 408-nucleotide ribosomal RNA is filed under the name uncultured bacterium. Its description in RNAcentral is "partial 16S ribosomal RNA". It matches the Rfam family "Bacterial small subunit ribosomal RNA", at positions 28 to 526 of the family's 1533-position model. The record is from RNAcentral.
GACGAACGCUGGCGGCGUGCUUAACACAUGCAAGUCGAACGAAGUGGCGAACGGGUGAGUAACGCGUAAUAAACCUGCCCUUCAGAGGGGGACAACAGUUGGAAACGACUGCUAAUACCGAAUACUGAAGGAGGGGAUUGCGUCUGUUUAGCUAGUUGGAGGGGUAACGGCCGACCAAGGGGAGGAUCAGUAGCCGGGUUGGGAGGAGUAACGGCCACAUUGGGACUGAGAAACGGCCCAGACUCCUACGGGAGGCAGCAGUGGGGAAUCUUCCGCAAUGGACGAAAGUCUGACGGAGCAACGCCGCGGGAGUGAUGACGGCCUUCGGGUUGUAAAGCUCUGUUAAUCGGGACGCGGUACCGGAAUAGAAAGCCACGGCUAACUACGUGCCAGCCGCCGCGGUAAUUC